ACCUAUGCUGUCUUGUGCAGGAUCCCAGGCAGAAGUUUUGAAAGAGUCCUGGGAGAAAACAGUAAGGCUUAAAUUCUGAUCUUUGAAAUACCUAUUUAUUUAACUGGUUUGCUAUGAAGUGUUGCUUUAAAAUAAAACGCGAACUACACUGUCGGGAACUGGCGUAAUGAUAAUGAGCCUUCAACCAACUGUAGCUUACAGUAAUUGCUGUCUGAUGACUGAACACAAAUCUCAUCCUGUAUGGCAGCAUUUCACCAAGCCAAGUUUAAGUUAUUGUUUACAAGUUGUAUUGUGUUUUUGUUAUUUAAGUUUAUAUUUAAAUUUUCACAAGUCAGUAUUCAAUAAAUGCUAAGUUGAGAAA
Brienomyrus brachyistius is the source of this 361-nucleotide long non-coding RNA. RefSeq lists it as uncharacterized. Lineage: Eukaryota; Metazoa; Chordata; Actinopteri; Osteoglossiformes; Mormyridae. The transcript is spliced from 2 exons. The record is from RefSeq and is a predicted model, not a curated record.